GACUCGGCAUCGAGAUACUAUUAAAGUCACAACGGUAAAAGAUGAGCAUGCGUCCCAUUAGCUAGUUGGUAAGGUAACGGCUUACCAAGGCUACGAUGGGUAGGGGUCCUGAGAGGGAGAUCCCCCACACUGGUACUGAGACACGGACCAGACUCCUACGGGAGGCAGCAGUGAGGAAUAUUGGACAAUGGGCGCAAGCCUGAUCCAGCCAUGCCGCGUGCAGGAUGACGGUCCUAUGGAUUGUAAACUGCUUUUGUACGAGAAGAAACACUCCUUCGUGUUGGAGCUUGACGGUAUCGUAAGAAUAAGGAUCGGCUAACUCCGUGCCAGCAGCCGCGGUAAUACGGAGGAUCCAAGCGUUAUCCGGAAUCAUUGGGUUUAAAGGGUCCGUAGGCGGUUUAGUAAGUCAGUGGUGAAAGCCCAUCGCUCAACGGUGGAACGGCCAUUGAUACUGCUAAACUUGAAUUAUUAGGAAGUAACUAGAAUAUGUAGUGUAGCGGUGAAAUGCUUAGAGAUUACAUGGAAAUACCAAUUGCGAACGCAGGUUACUACUAAUGGAUUGACGCUGAUGGACGAAAGC
This 580-nucleotide ribosomal RNA is filed under the name Flavobacterium sp. RNAcentral describes it as "bacterial SSU rRNA". It matches the Rfam family "Bacterial small subunit ribosomal RNA", at positions 182 to 760 of the family's 1533-position model. The record is from RNAcentral. Lineage: Bacteria; Pseudomonadati; Bacteroidota; Flavobacteriia; Flavobacteriales; Flavobacteriaceae.